RNAcentral lists this ribosomal RNA (500 nucleotides) under uncultured bacterium. RNAcentral describes it as "partial 16S ribosomal RNA". It matches the Rfam family "Bacterial small subunit ribosomal RNA", at positions 30 to 523 of the family's 1533-position model. The record is from RNAcentral.
AUUGAACGCUGGCGGAAUGCUUUACACAUGCAAGUCGAACGGCAGCACGGACUUCGGUCUGGUGGCGAGUGGCGAACGGGUGAGUAAUGUAUCGGAACGUGCCCAGUCGUGGGGGAUAACGUAGUGAAAAUUACGCUAAUACCGCAUACGAUCUAUGGAUGAAAGCGGGGGAUCGCAAGACCUCGCGCGAUUGGAGCGGCCGAUAUCAGAUUAGGUAGUUGGUGGGGUAAAGGCCCACCAAGCCAACGAUCUGUAGCUGGUCUGAGAGGACGACCAGCCACACUGGAACUGAGACACGGUCCAGACUCCUACGGGAGGCAGCAGUGGGGAAUUUUGGACAAUGGGCGGAAGCCUGAUUCAGCCAUUCCGCGUGCAGGAUGAAGGCCCUCGGGUUGUAGACUGCUUUUGUACAGAACGAAAAGGUUUCUACUAAUACUAGGAGCUCAUGACGGUACUGUAAGAAUAAGCACCGGCUAACUACGUGCCAGCCGCCGCCGUAA